UACGGAGGGUGCAAGCGUUAUCCGGAUUCACUGGGUUUAAAGUGUGCGUAGGCGGACAGGUAAGUCAGUGGUGAAAUCUCUGGGCUUAACCCAGAAACUGCCGUUGAUACUAUUUGUCUUGAAUAUCCUGGAGGUAGGCGGAAUAUGUCAUGUAGCGGUGAAAUGCUUAGAUAUGACAUAGAACACCGAUAGCGAAGGCAGCUUACUACAGGAUGAUUGACGCUGAGGCACGAAAGCGUGGGGAGCAAACAGG
Molecule: ribosomal RNA, 253 nt
Filed under: uncultured bacterium
Lineage: Bacteria
Description: partial 16S ribosomal RNA
Rfam family: Bacterial small subunit ribosomal RNA
Source: RNAcentral